Molecule: long non-coding RNA, 498 nt
Organism: Mizuhopecten yessoensis (Yesso scallop)
Lineage: Eukaryota; Metazoa; Mollusca; Bivalvia; Pectinida; Pectinidae
Exons: 4
Source: RefSeq, a predicted model, not a curated record
UUAUUGCAUGUGUACAUCUUCGAGUUAGGGCAUAUAAAAGGACAAAAAUAUCGGGAUUUACCAGAGCUGGUCUGAUCUCCCUACAGAAAGCUACAAGAUGAACAAGUGUCUCGCCCUGAUCCUGAUCCCAUGUCUAGUGGCCUUUGUUGUGGCCCAGUACCCCGGAUAUGGUACCCCCGGGUACGGGAUGGCAGGCUACGGUUCCGGUAGCGGUCUGAGUAACUACUACUACAACUACGGAAACCAACAACAGAAACAGAGCUCCAAUUUCGCCCUCUUGAUCUCUGGUCUCCUGCUGUUGUUCGCCUUCAACAUAACAGGAACCCUGACUGGUUAGACUUAACCAAGGGAGGUGGAGAUCGGCCGCCGGGUACUCAUAAAAAUCAUGAUUCCACAAGACUGUCAAACAUAACUGUGAUAUUGCGCGAUGUAUCUGUAUUGUUGCUGUUGUUGUUAUUGUUAUUUAUUACCCUUAUUAAAAAUACUGUCCAAAACAUA